CGCAACGCUACUCUGUUUACCAGGUCAGGUCCGGAAGGAAGCAGCCAGAGCAGACGACGUGUGUGCCGGGAUGUAGCUGGCAGGG
Molecule: signal recognition particle RNA, 85 nt
Filed under: Pseudomonas aeruginosa
Lineage: Bacteria; Pseudomonadati; Pseudomonadota; Gammaproteobacteria; Pseudomonadales; Pseudomonadaceae
Also listed under: 3 other names
Description: partial signal recognition particle sRNA small type
Rfam family: Bacterial small signal recognition particle RNA
About the family: The signal recognition particle (SRP) is a universally conserved ribonucleoprotein involved in the co-translational targeting of proteins to membranes. Archaeal SRP consists of a 7S RNA and homologues of the eukaryotic SRP19 and SRP54 proteins.
Source: RNAcentral